CGGACGGGUGAGUAACACUUAGGAAUCUAUCCAGUAGCUGGGGAUAACGUGGGGAAACUCACGCUAAUACCGAAUACGCACUACGGUGGAAAGAGGGGGAUCUUCGGACCUCGUGCUACUAAAUGGGCCUAUAUCAGAUUAGCUAGUUGGUAAGGUAAUGGCUUACCAAGGCGACGAUCUGUAGCUGGUUUGAGAGAAUGAUCAGCCACACUGGGACUGAGACACGGCCCAG
This 232-nucleotide ribosomal RNA is filed under the name uncultured bacterium. Its description in RNAcentral is "partial 16S ribosomal RNA". It matches the Rfam family "Bacterial small subunit ribosomal RNA", at positions 99 to 334 of the family's 1533-position model. The record is from RNAcentral.